RNAcentral lists this ribosomal RNA (465 nucleotides) under Vreelandella stevensii. RNAcentral describes it as "partial 16S ribosomal RNA". It matches the Rfam family "Bacterial small subunit ribosomal RNA", at positions 338 to 795 of the family's 1533-position model. The record is from RNAcentral. Lineage: Bacteria; Pseudomonadati; Pseudomonadota; Gammaproteobacteria; Oceanospirillales; Halomonadaceae.
CCUACGGGAGGCUGCAGUGGGGAAUAUUGGACAAUGGGCGAAAGCCUGAUCCAGCCAUGCCGCGUGUGUGAAGAAGGCCUUCGGGUUGUAAAGCACUUUCAGUGGGGAAGAAAGCCUUGGGGCUAAUACCCUCGAGGAAGGACAUCACCCACAGAAGAAGCACCGGCUAACUCCGUGCCAGCAGCCGCGGUAAUACGGAGGGUGCGAGCGUUAAUCGGAAUUACUGGGCGUAAAGCGCGCGUAGGCGGUCUGAUAAGCCGGUUGUGAAAGCCCCGGGCUCAACCUGGGAACGGCAUCCGGAACUGUCAGGCUAGAGUGCAGGAGAGGAAGGUAGAAUUCCCGGUGUAGCGGUGAAAUGCGUAGAGAUCGGGAGGAAUACCAGUGGCGAAGGCGGCCUUCUGGACUGACACUGACGCUGAGGUGCGAAAGCGUGGGAAGCAAACAGGAUUAGAUACCCGGGUAGUC